Molecule: ribosomal RNA, 500 nt
Filed under: uncultured bacterium
Lineage: Bacteria
Description: partial 16S ribosomal RNA
Rfam family: Bacterial small subunit ribosomal RNA
Source: RNAcentral
GAUGAACGCUAGCGGCAGGCCUAAUACAUGCAAGUCGAACGGUAACAUGAGUAGCAAUACUUGAUGACGAGUGGCGCACGGGUGCGUAACGCGUAUGCAAUCUACCUUUAACUGGUGAAUAGCCCGAAGAAAUUCGGAUUAAUACACCAUAGUAUAUUGAGGAGGCAUCUCCUUAAUAUUAAAACUCCGGUGGUUAAAGAUGAGCAUGCGUGACAUUAGCUAGUUGGUGAGGUAACGGCUCACCAAGGCAACGAUGUCUAGGGGAUCUGAGAGGAUUAACCCCCACACUGGGACUGAGACAGGGACCAGACUCCUACGGGAGGCAGCAGUAAGGAAUAUUGGACAAUGGUCGCAAGACUGAUCCAGCCAUGCCGCGUGAAGGAUGACGGCCCUAUGGGUUGUAAACUUCUUUUGUACGGGAAAAAACCCUUCUACGUGUAGAGGGCUGAUUGUACCGUAAGAAUAAGGAUCGGCUAACUCCAUGCCAGCCGCCGCCGUAA